AAAGUACAAUAGGCACAAAACCCUAAACAAAUCAAUGGAAAAACCUCACAACACUUGGUAAAGGGGUUAUCAAAAUGCAUGGCUGCUGAGAAUCUGUGGUUCUUACCACCACAUUUUUCUGUGACAGCACAAAUCAAGAAUUUCAGCUUCUGGAUCUGAUUCCUCUCAUAUCUACGUUUGGACAUACUGGUCACACUCACUUUUCUCUUCCUGAGACCAGCCCAAACAUUGUCAAGAUUCCUUUGUUUCUUGCAGAUCCAAGCAAAGGUUCCAGCCUCCCCUGGUUUGGCUGUCCCCACCAUCUGGCCAUGGACCACCAGGUCCUGCCAGCUCCUGCCAGCACCUCCCUCUGCUCGCAGUGUUUCCUGCACCUCCUCUGAGAUGCUGAAACAAUGAACUGUGGACAAGAUUAAACCUGGUACAAUUCUUGUCCUGUGCAUGGACGUGUAACCACAGCUCUGCUGAAGACCACAGAAAUUAUCCUGGGGAGCAAAAUACCCUCUCUAUCUGGUCUGGUCCCUAUCGAUUGGUUCCCCACAGGAGUGGAGGCACCAGAGCUGCAGGAGAGAGGCUGCGUGGGAAGUCAAAAGAGAACAGAAAGCAUCAGCUGUUCCAGGAAAUAACCUGUCCUUGCACAUUUCCUCAUGUUCAGGCUUCAAUAUUGUGAAUGCAAGCACUGUGAUGAGAGAAGAGGAAAAGAAAACCAUCCUUCAUUUUGCUGAGCACCAGCAGUGUGAACAAAAAUAUAAGGUGCUUCAGGGCAGGGAGAAACUGUGAAGAAAUAGGUUUUCAAAUUCCAUUUGUACUGGAUUGUCUGAAAAUUGUCUCAAGAACUGCCUUCUGGAGACAGCUGCCAUGCUCUGAGAGAUGGCAGA
Molecule: long non-coding RNA, 875 nt
Filed under: Parus major (Great Tit)
Lineage: Eukaryota; Metazoa; Chordata; Aves; Passeriformes; Paridae
Description: lncRNA (ENSPMJG00000012803.1)
Source: RNAcentral